CCUGGAUGAUGAUAAGCAAAUACUGACUGAACGUGAAUUUGUCU
Molecule: small nucleolar RNA, 44 nt
Filed under: Zalophus californianus (California sea lion)
Lineage: Eukaryota; Metazoa; Chordata; Mammalia; Carnivora; Otariidae
Description: Small nucleolar RNA SNORD44 (ENSZCAG00015025093.1)
Rfam family: Small nucleolar RNA SNORD44
About the family: U44 belongs to the C/D class of snoRNA which contain the C (UGAUGA) and D (CUGA) box motifs. Most of the members of the box C/D family function in directing site-specific 2'-O-methylation of substrate RNAs.
Source: RNAcentral